Molecule: ribosomal RNA, 369 nt
Filed under: uncultured bacterium
Lineage: Bacteria
Description: bacterial SSU rRNA
Rfam family: Bacterial small subunit ribosomal RNA
Source: RNAcentral
AGAGGGGGCAAGCGUUAUUCGGAAUUAUUGGGCGUAAAGGGCGCGUAGGCGGCUUUGCAAGUGACGGGUGAAAUCCCCCGGCUUAACCGGGGAACUGCCUGUCAGACUGCAUGGCUUGAGACCAGGAGAGGUGAGUGGAAUUCCCAGUGUAGCGGUGAAAUGCGUGGAUAUUGGGAGGAACACCAGUGGCGAAGGCGGCUCACUGGACUGGUACUGACGCUGAGGCGCGAAAGCGUGGGGAGCAAACAGGAUUAGAUACCCUGGUAGUCCACGCCGUAAACGAUGUGCUUGGUGUAGCGGGUAUCGACCCCUGCUGUGCCGAAGUCAACACAUUAAGCACUCCGCCUGGGGAGUACGGUCGCAAGACUG